AGUGAACGCUGGCGGUAGGCCUAACACAUGCAAGUCGAACGGCAGCACAGUAAGAACUUGCUCUUACGGGUGGCGAGUGGCGGACGGGUGAGGAAUACAUCGGAAUCUACUUUUUCGUGGGGGAUAACGUAGGGAAACUUACGCUAAUACCGCAUACGACCUACGGGUGAAAGCAGGGGAUCUUCGGACCUUGCGCGAUUGAAUGAGCCGAUGUCGGAUUAGCUAGUUGGCGGGGUAAAGGCCCACCAAGGCGACGAUCCGUAGCUGGUCUGAGAGGAUGAUCAGCCACACUGGAACUGAGACACGGUCCAGACUCCUACGGGAAGCAGCAGUGGGGAAUAUUGGACAAUGGGCGCAAGCCUGAUCCAGCCAUACCGCGUGGGUGAAGAAGGCCUUCGGGUUGUAAAGCCCUUUUGUUGGGAAAGAAAAGCAGCAGGUUAAUACCCCGCUGUUCUGACGGUACCCAAAGAAUAAGCACCGGCUAACUUCGUG
This 492-nucleotide ribosomal RNA is filed under the name uncultured bacterium. Its description in RNAcentral is "partial 16S ribosomal RNA". It matches the Rfam family "Bacterial small subunit ribosomal RNA", at positions 29 to 507 of the family's 1533-position model. The record is from RNAcentral.